UAAUUAAAAUUCAUGUUUAUGAAUUUCUCGAUUUUAAAAGAGCUAAAAGGUUAUAAAUUUUAUUGUUGAAUAAAUAUUUUUAAUAAUUUUUUUGUAAUGAAACGUUAGUCGUUUUUAAAUAUAUCUAGUUUUUUGAGAAAUAAAUUUAAUUUAGUUAUUAAUAUAAAUUUAGCUAAAUUACUAGCUCAAUUUUAUUAAUAUUUAAUAUUCUAAGGGAUAAGCUUUAGGAUAAAUUAUUAUAAAUAUAUCUUUUUAUAAAAAUAUAUUGGAUUAAUGAUGUCCACUAUUAAUAGUUUGUUAUAAUUAGUUUUUAUUAAAAUAUGAUUUUUAUAUUAUUUUAAUUUUUUUAUCAAAAUAAUCCAUUUAAUUUUAAGAUGUAUGUAAUAAUGAUAAAAUUAGUAUAAUUUUUUGUAUUUAAUUAAUUUUAAGUUGUGAGGUUGAGCUAAGGAACUCGGCAAAUAUUUCUUCCGCCUGUUUAUUAAAAACAUGGCUUUUUGAUAUUAAUUUAAAGUCUGACCUGCCCAAUGAAUAUUAUUUGAAUGGCCGCGGUAUCUUGACCGUGCAAAGGUAGCAUAAUAAUUAGCUUUUUAAUUGAAAGCUGGAAUGAAUGGUUGGACGAGAAGAAAGCUGUCUCUGUUUAAGUUUUGUUAGAAUUUUAUUUUUAAGUAAAAAAGCUUAAAUAAUUUUAAAAGACGAGAAGACCCUAUAGAGUUUUAUAUUUAUAUUUAUGGGUAAUUUUUAGAAUUAUUUAUUUACUUAUAGGUAAUAGUAUUUUAUUGGGGUGAUAGGAAAAUUGAAAUAACUUUUCUUGAUUGUUUAACAUUAAUAUAUGAUUGAUUGAUCCAUUUUUUAUGAUUAUAAGAUUAAAUUACCUUAGGGAUAACAGCGUUAUUAUUCUUGAGAGUUCAUAUCGAAAGAAUAGUUUGCGACCUCGAUGUUGGAUUAAAAUAAACUUCUGGUGCAGAAGCUAGAAAGUUAGGUCUGUUCGACCUUUAAAAUUUU
This 1002-nucleotide ribosomal RNA is filed under the name Bolborhinum geotrupoides. RNAcentral describes it as "partial 16S ribosomal RNA". Lineage: Eukaryota; Metazoa; Arthropoda; Insecta; Coleoptera; Geotrupidae. The record is from RNAcentral.